Long non-coding RNA from Bubalus bubalis (water buffalo), 1201 nucleotides. RefSeq lists it as uncharacterized. The transcript is spliced from 2 exons. The record is from RefSeq and is a predicted model, not a curated record. Lineage: Eukaryota; Metazoa; Chordata; Mammalia; Artiodactyla; Bovidae.
AAAUCCCAUGGGCAGAGGAGCCUGGCAGGCUACAUAGUCCAUGGGUUCGCAAAGAGUCAGACACUACUGAGAGUAACACUUCCCAGGUUCUGGAGCAGAUCCAAAGCAAGCAGAUGAGAAGGGCUGCUGCAGACCUGCUGGGGAUGAGAGGGCAGGUGUGGAAGGCAGCCAGAGAGUAGCCUCUUGACUUACCCUGAGCUAGGAUUAAGGGUCUGCUCUGAUAUCACUUAGGGCUCAGCGUGCCACAGUCAGCUUCUGGGCUGGUGAGAGCCAGUUGUUCAAUUUUCAGGAAUGUGGUGAAUUGACUGAGAUCUUCCUGAUAGUUUCCAGUUGGCUACAGUGGGAAUUUUUACAUUGAGAAAACUGACCAUACUCCACCCAGGUGUGAAACACUCACCAGUGCCUCACUCCGCAGGGCGCCCCAGAAGGUGUGCAGCAGGCGGCCACGGUGCGCCCUGCAGGGUAGGAACUCUGUGUCCCGCCAACCAGGAGAGAGCUGGUCAACCUUCAGAUGACGGCUGCGAUUCCUCUUGGUGCUGCUUGUCAGACACACGUGCUGAGCUGCUCUGACCUCCAGCUCCUCUUGUUCUCUCCUCCAUCCAGGCCCUGAAGCUGAUCACCACCAUCUGCUCCUUCCUCCUCCUUGUUCUCAGGGUGGACCCUCUGCUGGGUCAGCAUACGCUGCCAAGGAGUCCACUGGGCCAUGUCAGGAACCAGGGCUGGAUGCAUCUGGGUAUCUUUUCUUUUUACUUUAAGGGAUCAGCUGAUCUAAGGAAUGACCCCUAAUGGAAUGCCAUUCUCUUUGGCGAGCGUCACGCCAGCUUCCAUUUCUGGAUGCUCACUACAUCCCAGGACCUGUGAUGCACCUCUAAUGAUCUCAGGUGCUUUUCACAAUGGCCCCUCAAAACUGGCAGGGCUGCUAGCUCCAGGCCACUGACCAGGAAGGGUGACCCAGCCACACACCUCGUAGGUGGCAAGAGAGGGAUCCAAACACAGGUCGGCUUGGUUUCAAAGCCCUGGCUCCUAACAGCAAUCGUGCAUUGUCUCUCUGUCCCUGGGACAGGCAAGGGAGUUCCAUGAUGGCCAGGAGUGAAGCACCUGCAGUGUUCGGAAGCAUUUAGUAGCCAAUGCAGUGGUAGCGCUGGCAUAGGACUUUCAGAGGGGUUCACUGUGUUUGCAAACAGACAUUGAAUAGGAAAAG